UACAGAGGUGCCGAGCGUUAGGCGGAAUCACUGGGCUUAAAGCGUGCGUAGGCGGGCGUCUAAGUGUCUUGUGAAAUCCCACGGCUCAACCGUGGAACUGUUGGGCAUACUGGACGCCUUGAGGCUCGGUGAGGGGCGUGGAAUUCCGGGUGGAGCGGUGAAAUGCGUAGAGAUCCGGAGGAACACCGACGGCGUAGGCAGCGCCCUAGACGAGACCUGACGCUCAGGCACGAAAGCGCGGGGAGCGAACAGG
Molecule: ribosomal RNA, 253 nt
Filed under: uncultured bacterium
Lineage: Bacteria
Description: partial 16S ribosomal RNA
Rfam family: Bacterial small subunit ribosomal RNA
Source: RNAcentral